UACGGAGGGGACUAGCGUUGUUCGGAAUUACUGGGCGUAAAGCGCACGUAGGCGGCUUUGCAAGUCAGAGGUGAAAGCCCGGGGCUCAACCCCGGAAUUGCCUUUGAGACUGCAUCGCUAGAAUUGUGGAGAGGUAAGUGGAAUUCCGAGUGUAGAGGUGAAAUUCGUAGAUAUUCGGAAGAACACCAGUGGCGAAGGCGACUUACUGGACACAUAUUGACGCUGAGGUGCGAAAGCGUGGGGAGCAAACAGG
RNAcentral lists this ribosomal RNA (253 nucleotides) under uncultured bacterium. RNAcentral describes it as "partial 16S ribosomal RNA". It matches the Rfam family "Bacterial small subunit ribosomal RNA", at positions 524 to 776 of the family's 1533-position model. The record is from RNAcentral.